GUUUCUCUUUGCUUCUUGUUGUACAGACUACCACCGGCUGGCUGGUUUGCUCUGGACAGUGAGGCCUUCCAUGUGGCAUCUCCAAAGUCUGUCAUAUCAUUUGGAGCAGAGCCUAGAUCCUCCCCUGUGUGUCUAGUCUGGGAGAAUAUCCCUCCAUGUUGAGAGGACUCCAAAAGUCCAUUUGUGUACUAGGGGUGGAGGUGAGACUGGCAUUGUGAUGUUGGCAGACUCUGGAUGGCUUGGUCUGCUGGGACGGGUUCCCCUGUUCACAGUCCCCAGCCCUCAAGAAGUUCUGUGCAGGGCCAGAAGCAGGCCAAUGCUUGUCUCCUCCCAUGCAGGGAGGAGGGACUAUCGCCACAAUACUGGCCAACUCUGGAUGGCCUGGUCCGCCAGAACAUGUUCCACCUGUGAAAAUACUAUUUAGGAUGCCAAGAGAGGGAAGCCCUAUCCAGAUGAAAGAACUGUGAACAAUGGCAAUUAGCAGCCUGGCAGAUGAUCUAAAAGGUAGAGGUGACACGCACAUGAUGGUGGGAGCCAACAGUUGUCUGAUAGGACACAAGGACCACUCUACAGGAGAGAGAAGAUUAAGAUUAAGGAAGAAGGAAAUACUAUAAACUGUCCUGAUUUGACCUCAAC
This 636-nucleotide long non-coding RNA is filed under the name Cricetulus griseus (Chinese hamster). Its description in RNAcentral is "lncRNA (ENSCGRG00015040185.1)". Lineage: Eukaryota; Metazoa; Chordata; Mammalia; Rodentia; Cricetidae. The record is from RNAcentral.